AUACACUCCUCACAAGUUCUUUUGAUGCAACAAAGAAUUGUGGUAAAAACCAUGAUAUAGAAAAAGGUUUGAGGAUGGUAUUCUACUUGAGUUGUUGGGGGCCCCAGUUGAUGAGCUGACCCAAAUUCAGAUGGAAAAUGCUUAAAGACCAGCUAAGGAAGAUUUCCCUAUGUUUAUUAAAGCUCUGUAAGAGCACACAGG
RNAcentral lists this unclassified non-coding RNA (201 nucleotides) under Hevea brasiliensis (rubber tree). Lineage: Eukaryota; Viridiplantae; Streptophyta; Magnoliopsida; Malpighiales; Euphorbiaceae. The record is from RNAcentral.